GCAAAGGCCCUUUUUAGGGCCACUCAAAUUAUUGUUAUGGACUGGU
Non-coding RNA from Trichobilharzia regenti, 46 nucleotides. The record is from Rfam. Lineage: Eukaryota; Metazoa; Platyhelminthes; Trematoda; Strigeidida; Schistosomatidae.